GACGAACGCUGGCGGCGUGCCUAAUACAUGCAAGUCGAACGGUUUAGUUCCAAGAGGCUUGCCUUUUGGAACUAGACAGUGGCGGACGGGUGAGUAACACGUAGGCAACCUACCUGUCAAACCGGGAUAACCUCGGGAAACCGAAGCUAAACCCGGAUAAGCUCCUUUUUCGCAUGAAGGGGGAGUGAAAAGGUGCGACCUGAUGACAGAUGGGCCUGCGGCGCAUUAGCUAGUAGGUAGGGUAACGGCCUACCUAGGCGAUGAUGCGUAGCCGACCUGAGAGAGCGUAAGGCCACACUGAGACUGGGAUAAGGCCCAGACUCCUACGGGAGGAAGCAGUAGGGAAUCUUCGGCAAUGGGCGAAAGCCUGACCGAGCAACGCCGCGUGAGUGAGGAAGGCCUUCGGGUUGUAGAACUCUGUUGUUUGGGAAGAAGGGAAAGGGUAGGACCCUUUGGUGACGGUACCAAACGAGAAAGCCCCGGCUAACUACGUG
This 494-nucleotide ribosomal RNA is filed under the name uncultured bacterium. Its description in RNAcentral is "partial 16S ribosomal RNA". It matches the Rfam family "Bacterial small subunit ribosomal RNA", at positions 28 to 507 of the family's 1533-position model. The record is from RNAcentral.